Molecule: unclassified non-coding RNA, 161 nt
Filed under: soil metagenome
Description: partial internal transcribed spacer 1
Source: RNAcentral
UCGAGUUUACAACUCCCAAACCCAUGUGAACCUUACCAUCACGUUGCUUCGGCGGUCACGCCCCGGCGCCCCCGUGCCCGGAACCAGGCGCCCGCCGGAGGACCAUCAAACUAUUGUUGUAUCUAGUGGCAUUGUCUGAGUGGCGUAAAGCAAAUCAAUCA